GGAGAGGUGGCCGAGCGGCUGAAGGCAGCUGCCUGCUAAGCAGUUGAACGUGUGAGCGUUCCCUGGGUUCGAAUCCCAGCCUCUCCG
This 87-nucleotide transfer RNA is filed under the name Candidatus Zixiibacteriota bacterium. RNAcentral's name for it is "candidate division Zixibacteria bacterium tRNA-Ser". It matches the Rfam family "tRNA". From Rfam's summary of the family: Transfer RNA (tRNA) molecules are approximately 80 nucleotides in length. Their secondary structure includes four short double-helical elements and three loops (D, anti-codon, and T loops). The record is from RNAcentral. Lineage: Bacteria; Pseudomonadati; Candidatus Zixiibacteriota.